This 1338-nucleotide long non-coding RNA is filed under the name Gallus gallus (chicken). RNAcentral describes it as "lncRNA (ENSGALG00010020296.1)". Lineage: Eukaryota; Metazoa; Chordata; Aves; Galliformes; Phasianidae. The record is from RNAcentral.
GCUGCUCUCAUUAAUACCCUAUUAACACAACAGGCUGUUGUGCUGCAUGGCAGUGGUGUUAAAGCAAUGGGGGAAUGCAGGCGGGUGAUGAUGAGGGGUGAGGAAGAGCCCAGUUCUGUCCCACCACACCGCUCCCAUGUGUCACUGCCAUCCAUGUGUGCUGCACAUCAGACCUGCCUGGAAGUGGCCAAAUUCUGCCUUCAUCCUCUCUCUGCUUGAAUAAAAAGCAAAACAGUGUCUGAAAUCUGAUUGAGAGGAAAGCGUUUUCCCUUUCACUUCCUGCAAGACAUGCCCUCUCUCUGCCAACCAUAUCCUGGGUUACAUUAAAAAAGGGGUGGCCAGCAGGGAGAGGGAGGUGAUUGUGCCCCUCUACUCAGCUCCUGUGAGGCCCCAUCUGCAGUACUGCGUCCAGGCCUGGGGCCCCCAGUAGAGGAAGGAUGUGAAGCUCUUGAGAGGAUCCAGAGGAGGGUCACUAAGAUGGUCAGAGGGCUGGAGUACCUCUCCUAUGAGGAAAGGUUGAGGGAAUUGGGCUUGUUUAGUUUGGAGAAGAGAAGGCUCUGGAGAGACCUCAUUGUGGCCUUCCAGUACUUGAAGGGAGUGUAUAAACAGGAGGGGAACAGCUGUUUAUGAGGGUGGAUAGUGAUAGGACAAGGGGGAAUGGUUUUAAACUGAGACAGGGGAGGUUUAGCUUGGAGAAGAGAAGGCUGCGGGGAGACCUCAUUGUGGCCUUCUGGUACUGAAAGGGAGCGUAUAAACAGGAGGGGGAAUGGCUGUUUGUGAGGGUGGACAGUGAUAGGACAAGGGGGAAUGGUUUUAAACUGAGACAGGGGAGGUUUAGGUUGGAGAUGAGGAGGAAGAUCUUCCCCCAGAGGGUGGUGACGCACUGAACAGGUUGCCCAAGGAGGCUGUGGAUGCCCCAUCCCUGCAGGCAUUCAAGGCCAGGCUGGAUGUGGCUCUGGGCAGCCUGGUCUGCUGGUUGGUGACCCUGCACAUAGCAGGGGGUUGGAACUGGAUGAGCACUGUGGUCCUUUUCAACCCAGGACAUUCUCUGACUCUAUGAUUCUAUGAUUGCCACAGCUGCAUUAUAAAGCUGAAGAUGUUUUCAUUAAUACAAUCUCAUGGGCUUGGGCCAGAGGCACUGCCUUUGCUUUAACCUGAUGUGAAAGGGAGAGAAAGUUCAAGGCUGUUUGUAGAGGAAUGUUUGUGCCCUGUGACCCUCUCAGAGCACACAGCCCUCCAUGUCACCCCCAUUCUCAGAGCACAGCAAACAGAACCUGCUCUGCUCCAAGGCCUCUGCAGCCCAAUUAGGACAAAACCAGCAACAAAGGCAAAGUGCUG